Molecule: ribosomal RNA, 387 nt
Filed under: uncultured bacterium
Lineage: Bacteria
Description: bacterial SSU rRNA
Rfam family: Bacterial small subunit ribosomal RNA
Source: RNAcentral
AUUGAACGCCGGCGGCAUGCCUUACACAUGCAAGUCGAACGGUAACGCGGGGGCAACCCUGGCGACGAGUGGCGAACGGGUGAGUAAUACAUCGGAACGUACCCAGUAGUGGGGGAGUAGCUCGGCGAAAGCCGGAUUAAUACCGCAUACGACCUAUGGGUGAAAGCGGGGGAUCGCAAGACCUCGCGCUAUUGGAGCGGCCGAUGUCGGAUUAGCUAGUUGGUGAGGUAAAGGCUCACCAAGGCUACGAUCCGUAGCUGGUCUGAGAGGACGACCAGCCACACUGGGACUGAGACACGGCCCAGACUCCUACGGGAGGCAGCAGUGGGGAAUUUUGGACAAUGGGCGAAAGCCUGAUCCAGCCAUGCCGCGUGUGUGAAGAAGGCC